AACUUGAUCCAUGGGCCACUAAGGGCGGGUGUGUGUGUGGGGAACCUCCAUGGCGGUCCAUAUUUAAAUUUGGUUUUAGAUUUGUCUAAAAAUAUUUUGGCUGCCCAAGCACCAAUUAGGUAGCACCGAGUGUAUCACAGUAGAGGAAGCUGCAUCUGGCCUUGAACUGUGGGUAUUGGUGGGGUUUGUUGGGUCUCGUGGGAUGAAGACCACCAUCAGUGAAGAACUACUGCUCUGCAUUCAGGGAACUGGAGGAGCUAAAUGGUUGGAGUGGCCAGAACCCCAAGUUAAAGACAGCACAUACGGAGCACAGUAGGCACCAAAGGAAUGGAAUACACAGAAAAUGCCUCAUGGGAAUCCUCAGAAAUACAUAUGUAUGGCAGCUUCAUAGGGAUGGAGAGUCUGUCAGAGUCAUAUAAAUUUUACUUUAACCUAAUUUGUCUGCAUAGGUAAAUAUAUGGAUUAUUGGGAAAUUUCUUAGCCUUUUUCAAUGUUAAACCAGAAUUUCAUGUAAUACUUUUUCAUCAAUGUUCUCUCUUUAGCCUAAGGAUACCAAAGACCAGCUUAUUAAGCUGAUGACAGGAAAGACCACCAGAAAAAGCCAGUACUAAUCUGUAGCAGGGAAGUGUGGCUAAUACCACAGCUCUGUAAUGUAGUAAACUCACCUAGAAAAACUGAAUGUGAAUAGUCAUAGCUCUUUUACACUGUGAUUUUCAUCCAGUCAUUUAAAGGACAGGUGAUGGAAAGAGUCCUAGGUCAGAGACCAAGGGCUUUGUUACUCACAACAGGAAGCAGCAUGAGCAGCCCCGUAUUUGGUGCCUUUAAACUGCAUUUCCCCUUAGUGACCAGAAGAUAUCUCCAUGUGCAGUCGGUUGUGUUUCAGGAUAGAAAUUUCUGCACUCAGGUUCAUAGAGGACAAUAAGUGUGCUGGCCCGUUGCUUGAGAGGGAAACUCUAUCUUCCACGAAGGUUCACCUACACAAACAUCCUCCAUGCAAACUUCCUUGCAAAGAUAGUUUGUCACAAGAGUGGUCAAUGAUUCUGCUUGCAAGAUAUGCAGAAAAGCUUGAGACCCAUGAAGAAUUAUCUCCCAACAACAUUCAUAACUGGUUUUAAGAAAGUAAGUCAAAAUGUGAACAACAAAUCUAAAAUCUGCUUUUUGAGAGUACAUCUUGCCUGGAAGAAACCCUGCCACAAAUAAUAAAUCCUCAACUUGCCAUGACCUUUAGAUUGUUAACCGUAUCUUUGGGGGCAGUGUGCCCUUUUCUGGUGUGCUACUGAAGGACAAGUUUCUGUGCAAGUUUCUUCAGUGUUCUUCAGGACAAUUACUAAAAAACUUGUGAAGAGCGGGCUCUCACUCAUUACUAGCUUUCAUAUUCUCUGUCUCAUGUUCUGCAGGAUGAGGGGUAGAUCUAGUUAUCUGUCCUGGAGUGGAGUCUGAGAUGAAAACGAGGUUUCUGGAAAGGAAGUCUGACACAACAGCCAAAUCAUAAGCCAUAACUCCAUUCAGUCAUAUUGAACAGGCUAUGAAAUCGUAUUACCUAUGUACAAGGGAAAGAAAAAUCAAUAUGUGCUUUUCCUUCAUUUAAUGAAUGUCCUUCUCUAUCCUCCCUGCUUUGCUACCCCGAACGUUUUUACAUUAGCAUGAUAAGAAGCACUGGGAUGUGUGGGACAGGCCUGGGUGUUCAGAAGGCCAUUUCUCUCAGUCUGUGAAUACAGUUUUAAAACCAGUCUUUUGUCAUUAUUGCUAAAAAUAGUGUGGAAUCCAGAUAGAGCAAAGAUUUCUUCUGCCACCUCCUAGUGUUUCUGGGAACUGAAGGUAAGUACAUAUGGUACAAUAAAAAAGGUGCCAGACCUGGAAUUCCCUGCAGCUCCAUGCAAGUUGUUUAUGUGGUCUUGAUUAAGGCACUUAAUGUCUCUCUCAGAGGUUGGUAUUUUAAAUGGGAGAAUAAUCCUUGUUCUGCUAAUCUUACAAAUUCAUAAUGAUUUUUUUGUUGUUGUUGUUGUUAGCAACUUCCAACUUCUGGGCUAGGCAAUUGAUUCUAUUGCCUCAGCCUCCUGAGUAGCAGGGACUAUAGGUGCCCGCCAUAAUGCCCAGCUAUUUUUUGUUGCAGUUUGGCUGGGACCGGGUUUGAACCCGCCACCCUCAGUGUAUGGGACUGGCGCCCUACUCACUGAGCCAUAGGCGCCACCCCAUUAUGAUUAUUAAAUUAACAAUGUACUAUACUCGUAUGCAUAUGAAGGUGCUUUGGUAAUUGUUUGACACAAUUAUAAAAUGGCAUUAUACUUAUGGCAGAAUUUAAAUAAAGUAGGACUUUUCCUUAAUAUUGACAUGGAGAAACUUGUACUAUUUCCUCAAGUUUCAGUAUUGAUAAGGAGCAUAAUCUGAACGAUAAAAAACAGAGUCCACGUAAGAAUGAGUGACAUCCUAGAAUAUUAGGGAAAUCUCAGUAAAAAUCACACAACAUUGUUCUCGAUUCCCACUCACUUGUUUUUCUUAGUUGCACAAUCCUCAGAUGUGACCAAGAGUGAUAACCAAGUUGUUCACUCAAAUUUCCAGGAAUAUUCGCCAUACUCUGUUCAUCUGAAGCUUCUGAAAGGUAAUGUCACCCUCAAUCUGUGAUUAAUCAUAAUGCUAAUGUUUUCUCUUUUUAACAAUUGGAGAGGUCUAAUAGGAAUCAACAAAUAUACUUUGGGUGGGUUGGAGAAGAAAAGGCUUUGUCUCUCUACAUGAAACUAGAACAAUUCAUGGAAACCAUGACCCACAAAGCAACCUAAAAUAUCUGCUUUUGUUUUAAAUUUGUAGAUAAAACAUAAAUACACUGUGAUUCCUUGGAUUCAAGCAACCAACCCAGAAUGAUACUGUGUAAGUUCUGGAGGCCACAGUAAAACCCACCGGGAGAUCUUAAAUUCUCAAGUUCUGCAGCUGUUAUUAGUCAUAAACAACAACAACAACGAUAACACAUUCCCGUGUGUAAGGGAACUUUCAAGUGCAGACUUCUGUGUUUCCUGAAUAUGAUCUGGUGAGACUAACAACCUCCAGUUUACCACGGAAGGUCUCUAUUCAUAGAGAGGCUUGCUUUACUCCAGAAUUAUUUCUUUAAUACUCCUUCCAAUAAUUCAUUGACAAGAUAAAAAUAUGGAAAAUGGCAAAGGGAAAUAAAAGAAAGAAAAUGAAGAUUAAGGUUAAGAUGAAGUAAUCCAACGUGACUGAUGUCUUUCUAAAAAGAGGAGACAGAUGCAGAAACAGAGGGAAGGCCGUGUGAAGAUCGGAGUUAUGUUGCCACAUACUGAGGAAUGCCAGGGGCUGUCAGAAGCCAGAAGGGUCACAAAUCAAAUAUAUCAAGGAUUUCCUAAACAUGGAGAAGAAAAGAAAACGAAAAAUGAGCCAGGCGGAGAACCGUGCUCUGAUUGUGGUUGGAACACAGUUAACAAUGUUGUGUGUGGCAAGACUAGCUUCGUCUCUGGAGUGCUGGCUUCCCCUUCUACUCUAUCCUCGGGCAGUCGAUUGGCAGGACAAGAUAAAGGCUUCAACUCACGGAUCCUACUCCCACUGCAAAUAAUGAAAGCCUAGGAAGGUCUUCAAACAGAUAAACAGCAUGCAUGAUGAGAGAGUUUGGGGAAAAAGCCACUUUCUUUUCAAUAACCUUAUAUUUUAAUAAAGCAUUUGAGAAUCAUUUACCUUCUAAAUGUGUGAAUAAUGAUGCCUUCAAUUUAAAUAGUAGAGAUGAAGUCUCUCAGGCAUCAUUCUGGACCAGAAAAAAAGAAGAAGAAACCCCAAACUCCAACAAACAAAAAGCCCCAAAACAUGGUCAGCCAUCUCCAGUGGACCC
Molecule: long non-coding RNA, 3832 nt
Organism: Nycticebus coucang (slow loris)
Lineage: Eukaryota; Metazoa; Chordata; Mammalia; Primates; Lorisidae
Exons: 5
Source: RefSeq, a predicted model, not a curated record